This is a long non-coding RNA of Lutra lutra (Eurasian river otter), 629 nucleotides long. RefSeq lists it as uncharacterized. The transcript has 3 exons. Lineage: Eukaryota; Metazoa; Chordata; Mammalia; Carnivora; Mustelidae. The record is from RefSeq and is a predicted model, not a curated record.
ACUAACUGCCAGGCUGGGAGGACCUGUAUGAGUCACGCUACCUGGCCCCUGGGUGAGGCCUAGGGACUGGCUGGGGCCAAGGCUUUAUGACCAGAUGAGCAAACAGUCUUCAUGAGGAGUGACUAACUGGGUAAUCAGAGUGACGCUGGGCCCUGGACCGGAAUCUCCUGGCUUUCAGGAGAAGAAAACAAAGCCCCUACUUCUCAUGGGACCUACAUUUGAGAAGGAGAGACAGCUAAGAGACAAGACAAUCAAACCAGAUGACUUCAGAUGGUGAUGUGAAGAACAAUCCAAUCAUAAGGGCCCCAUGUCCAAAUCCACACCCAUGGUUUACUGUAAAUCCUUGUAACAAAAUUUCUAUUCUCAAAUAGAAAUAGAGGAAACGCUGCUUAUAAAACUCACAGCAGGGUCUUGUGUUUUGUUAAGGACAAAGGUAAGAUGGGAAUGCUGUAAGAAGCCUGCCUAGGUGCUGGCAACUUUUCUAUCUCAACCGGGUGGCAGUUGUACAUGUUUAUGUAAAAAUCCAGUUUAGACGUCACUGUAAGUUUUACUCAGUAAAAAAGGACAAAAAUGAUAACACUUGGCUGUCUACCGUUUUUUUUGGUGCCUUUCUAUGUACUAGGCACUUC